Molecule: ribosomal RNA, 541 nt
Filed under: uncultured prokaryote
Description: bacterial SSU rRNA
Rfam family: Bacterial small subunit ribosomal RNA
Source: RNAcentral
UAAGGAAUAUUGGUCAAUGGACGCAAGUCUGAACCAGCCAUGCCGCGUGAAGGAUUAAGGUCCUCUGGAUUGUAAACUUCUUUUAUCUGGGACGAAAAAGGGUCUUUCUAGACCAACUGACGGUACCAGAUGAAUAAGCACCGGCUAACUCCGUGCCAGCAGCCGCGGUAAUACGGAGGGUGCAAGCGUUAUCCGGAUUCACUGGGUUUAAAGGGUGCGUAGGCGGGCAGGUAAGUCAGUGGUGAAAUCCUGGAGCUCAACUCCAGAACUGCCAUUGAUACUAUCUGUCUUGAAUAUUGUGGAGGUAAGCGGAAUAUGUCAUGUAGCGGUGAAAUGCUUAGAUAUGACAUAGAACACCCAUUGCGAAGGCAGCUUACUACGCAUAUAUUGACGCUGAGGCACGAAAGCGUGGGGAUCAAACAGGAUUAGAUACCCUGGUAGUCCACGCCCUAAACGAUGGAUACUCGACAUACGCGAUACACUGUGUGUGUCUGAGCGAAAGCAUUAAGUAUCCCACCUGGGAAGUACGUUCGCAAGAAUG